Talpa occidentalis (Iberian mole) is the source of this 332-nucleotide long non-coding RNA. RefSeq lists it as uncharacterized. The transcript has 3 exons. The record is from RefSeq and is a predicted model, not a curated record. Lineage: Eukaryota; Metazoa; Chordata; Mammalia; Eulipotyphla; Talpidae.
AUUAAGCAGGAGCUUCUUGAAUGUGAGUUGUGGGCAUGACACAAGUAGACCAAGCUGCAUUCAACUCUAGUCAUACAAGCAGGAGGAAUAUUGUUCCAUUAGAAAGCACUGCUAUUAUCAACAAUAAAGGAAAGGACAGUAAUGGCACCCAGACCUGGGGCAUCUCAUCAUGAUACGAUUUUUCACUGCCUAACUCUGUGGCAGAUGCUCUGUUGAAUGAAGUAAGUAGAAUAUAGAAUAUGUUUUUAAAAAUUAGGUAAAGGAGUAAAGAUAAUGUUGAAAUAUUAGAAACAUCUGGAAAAAUUGAGAUAAACUUUUGUGAAGAAUUGAGA